AUUGAACGCUGGCGGCAUGCCUUACGCAUGCAAGUCGAACGGCAGCACGGGAGCAAUCCUGGUGGCGAGUGGCGAACGGGUGAGUAAUGUAUCGGAACGUGCCCAGUCGUGGGGGAUAACGUAGCGAAAGCUACGCUAAUACCGCAUACGAUCUGUGGAUGAAAGCGGGGGACCGUAAGGCCUCGCGCGAUUGGAGCGGCCGAUAUCAGAUUAGGUAGUUGGUGGGGUAAAGGCCUACCAAGCCGACGAUCUGUAGCUGGUCUGAGAGGACGACCAGCCACACUGGGACUGAGACACGACCCAGACUCCUACGGGAGGCAGCAGUGGGGAAUUUUGGACAAUGGGCGCAAGCCUGAUCCAGCAAUGCCGCGUGCAGGAAGAAGGCCUUCGGGUUGUAAACUGCUUUUGUCAGGGAAGAAAUCUUCUGGGCUAAUACCCCGGGAGGAUGACGGUACCUGAAGAAUAAGCACCGGCUAACUACGUGCCAGCCGCCGCUGUAA
RNAcentral lists this ribosomal RNA (500 nucleotides) under uncultured bacterium. Its description in RNAcentral is "partial 16S ribosomal RNA". It matches the Rfam family "Bacterial small subunit ribosomal RNA", at positions 30 to 523 of the family's 1533-position model. The record is from RNAcentral.